UACGGGGGGGGCAAGCGUUGUUCGGAAUUACUGGGCGUAAAGGGCUCGUAGGCGGCCAACUAAGUCAUACGUGAAAUCCCUCGGCUUAACCGGGGAACUGCGUCUGAUACUGGAUGGCUUGAGUUCGGGAGAGGGAUGCGGAAUUCCAGGUGUAGCGGUGACAUGCGUAGAUAUCUGGAGGAACACCGGUGGCGAAGGCGGCAUCCUGGACCGAUACUGACGCUGAGGAGCGAAAGCCAGGGGAGCAAACGGG
RNAcentral lists this ribosomal RNA (253 nucleotides) under uncultured bacterium. RNAcentral describes it as "partial 16S ribosomal RNA". It matches the Rfam family "Bacterial small subunit ribosomal RNA", at positions 524 to 776 of the family's 1533-position model. The record is from RNAcentral.